CCAAUAGCGUAUAUUAAAGUUGUUGCAGUUAAAAAGCUCGUAGUUGAAUUUCGGGGUCAGUGCGUCGGUCGUGCCUUCGGUACGUACUAACGUUAUUGAUUCCUACCUUCUGUCGAACCGUGAUGUCAUUAAUUUGGUGUUACGGGGAAUCAGGACUGUUACCUUGAAAAAAUUAGAGUGUUUAAAGCAGGCCAAAGCUUGAAUACAUUAGCAUGGAAUAAUGAAAUAGGACGUUUGACCCUAUUUUGUUGGUUUCUAGGAUCGACGUAAUGAUUAAUAGGGAUAGUUGGGGGCAUUAGUAUUCAAUUGUCAGAGGUGAAAUUCUUGGAUUUAUUGAAGACUAACUACUGCGAAAGCAUUUGCCAAGGAUGUUUUCAUUAAUCAAGAACGAAAGUUAGGGGAUCGAAGACGAUCAGAUACCGUCGUAGUCUUAACCAUAAACUAUGCCGACUAGGGAUCGGAUGAUGUUAAUUUUAUAAUGACUCAUUCGGCGCCUUACG
Molecule: ribosomal RNA, 500 nt
Filed under: uncultured Glomeromycotina
Lineage: Eukaryota; Fungi; Glomeromycota
Description: partial small subunit ribosomal RNA
Rfam family: Eukaryotic small subunit ribosomal RNA
Source: RNAcentral